GGGCAUGUGGCGGAAUUGGUAGACGCGCUGGCUUCAGGAGCCAGUGGGGCCACCCCCGUGGAGGUUCGAGUCCUCUCAUGCCCA
Molecule: transfer RNA, 84 nt
Filed under: Pseudomonadota bacterium
Lineage: Bacteria; Pseudomonadati; Pseudomonadota
Also listed under: 1 other name
Description: tRNA-Leu
Rfam family: tRNA
About the family: Transfer RNA (tRNA) molecules are approximately 80 nucleotides in length. Their secondary structure includes four short double-helical elements and three loops (D, anti-codon, and T loops). Further hydrogen bonds mediate the characteristic L-shaped molecular structure. tRNAs have two regions of fundamental functional importance: the anti-codon, which is responsible for specific mRNA codon recognition, and the 3' end, to which the tRNAs corresponding amino acid is attached (by aminoacyl-tRNA synthetases). tRNAs cope with the degeneracy of the genetic code in two manners: having more than one tRNA (with a specific anti-codon) for a particular amino acid; and 'wobble' base-pairing, i.e. permitting non-standard base-pairing at the 3rd anti-codon position.
Source: RNAcentral